RNAcentral lists this ribosomal RNA (676 nucleotides) under Salmonella enterica subsp. enterica serovar Agona. Its description in RNAcentral is "bacterial SSU rRNA". It matches the Rfam family "Bacterial small subunit ribosomal RNA", at positions 839 to 1515 of the family's 1533-position model. Lineage: Bacteria; Pseudomonadati; Pseudomonadota; Gammaproteobacteria; Enterobacterales; Enterobacteriaceae. The record is from RNAcentral.
GUGGCUUCCGGAGCUAACGCGUUAAGUAGACCGCCUGGGGAGUACGGCCGCAAGGUUAAAACUCAAAUGAAUUGACGGGGGCCCGCACAAGCGGUGGAGCAUGUGGUUUAAUUCGAUGCAACGCGAAGAACCUUACCUGGUCUUGACAUCCACAGAAGAAUCCAGAGAUGGAUUUGUGCCUUCGGGAACUGUGAGACAGGUGCUGCAUGGCUGUCGUCAGCUCGUGUUGUGAAAUGUUGGGUUAAGUCCCGCAACGAGCGCAACCCUUAUCCUUUGUUGCCAGCGAUUAGGUCGGGAACUCAAAGGAGACUGCCAGUGAUAAACUGGAGGAAGGUGGGGAUGACGUCAAGUCAUCAUGGCCCUUACGACCAGGGCUACACACGUGCUACAAUGGCGCAUACAAAGAGAAGCGACCUCGCGAGAGCAAGCGGACCUCAUAAAGUGCGUCGUAGUCCGGAUUGGAGUCUGCAACUCGACUCCAUGAAGUCGGAAUCGCUAGUAAUCGUGGAUCAGAAUGCCACGGUGAAUACGUUCCCGGGCCUUGUACACACCGCCCGUCACACCAUGGGAGUGGGUUGCAAAAGAAGUAGGUAGCUUAACCUUCGGGAGGGCGCUUACCACUUUGUGAUUCAUGACUGGGGUGAAGUCGUAACAAGGUAACCGUAGGGGAACCUGC